Non-coding RNA from Equus caballus (horse), 2533 nucleotides. The record is from RefSeq and is a predicted model, not a curated record. Lineage: Eukaryota; Metazoa; Chordata; Mammalia; Perissodactyla; Equidae.
AGAAGGACAGGGUGGGAUGGGGGAGGGAGUGACAAUGGGAAGACUGAAGGACUGAGUCAUUCAGGGCCUGGGGUGUCACCAUCUCUCAGAAGAGGAGUUCUCUCAGCCCUGGUCCUCUCCAAUCUCCUCACAGAGAGUUCCAGAGUUCCAGAGUGAAAUAUGACUUGCUGUAAAACUCUGUAUUGUGUUCUGCAAGUCAUACUGGAAGAAACAAAGGAUUCUUGUUAAUUCUGCAUUCUUGCCCAUCCCGUUUGUGAAGGUCAAGCUAAUUUACUCCCAUGUGAGUGAGUCCAGUGUGCUUGUCGUGAAUGACAGCUGGGCCCUGAUGGAUGUCAAGUGGUUGCAAGAGCUCCAAGGCAGGAACCUUCUUCUAGGCAAAAGCAACCUAAGACGUUGUCCACAGAUGCCUACAGGAGAAAAUCCAAAUUCCUUAACAUGGGUACAUACCUCCUUCACAAGUUUGCACUGUAUCCUGCUUCAGCAUCAUUUUUUUUGCCAAACCCGACUUGCACUCCCAUUCUCCAGCCACACCAAGCUAUUUGCCAAAUGGGCCCAGUGUUUAUAAACCUCAGCCUGGAAUGUCCUUCCAUGCCCUGGUUAACGCUUACUCAUGUUACACGACCCAACUGAAGCUCUUCUUGGCCCUCCACACCUUUUUGUGGAGUGCUGUGUCUCCUGCUUUGUGGCCCUCUGUACCUGUAAAUACUUCCAUAGUUGUACCAAUAACGUCUCUUUUUCUCUGGCUGUUUACAUAUCUGACAGUCCUUCUGUCUAUAAGUUCUUUUGAGGCAAGGCCGGUUUUUUUCCAGCUUUGUAUGUCCACUGCAGAUGCUCAAUUAAUGUUUUCUUAAAAUUAAUAAAUUAAAAAGUUGAAUGACUGGUUAAUUAGUUGUUCCCAAUUCUCAACUUUCUCAUAUUAAUGGAAGCUUUUUAGGGCUUUAUUUUUGUUUGUUUGUAAGUGUGUGAGUCUGUCGGCCUGUCUUAGACGGGUGCUGCUCAAACUGUAAUGUGCCUGGGAAUCUUGUGAGCACGCAGAUUAGGGCAAGUCUGAGUGGAGCCUGAGAUUCUGCAUUCCUAACAGGCUCCCAGGUGAUGCUGAUACUGCCGGUCCAAGGAGCAUAUUUUGCACAGCAAAGUCAGCAGGCAACAGGGUCUCUAGAGGGCAGAGGUUGCUGUCUGUAAGUAGAGGAAGCCCUAAAAAACAAGUGAAGACUUAGUGAAGAUGACAAUUAGAUGACAAGGAACAUACUUUGUAUCCAUCAUUUCCAUCCAGGAGCUUUGGUCUCCUAUGGAAUUCAUCUUCGGUGAUGGGCUGAGCUUUUCUGGAGCUCUUAUUUCUCAUUUUCUCCAGCUGGAGUCCAGCUUAGGCCACAAACAUUGCUCCCUCCGUACCUUUGUGAUAGUUGCCAGGAGCUCAGCUGAGCUGGGAGAGAGAACACUGAUCUGACAGGUGUGGGAGUAGCUGAUGAAAGCAACAAGCCUAAAAUGAAAAAGUUAAGCCAUUAAUCACUUACUGUGAUGGUAUAAGCAAGAGUCUAAUACUGGAAAAGGUGCCACCUCCCCCUGUUCCAAUUCCCCCUUGGAACUGCACGCCAGUCCAUGUUCAGGUGGAUCAGCGUAGAUGUGCGGGUUGUCUAGCUGUUGGAGCUGCUGAAUAAGAGACUUCGGUUUUGUGGACCCUGAGGUGGAGGGAGCGUGAGGGGGAAGGGCUAGGAGUGGAAAAGUACUGGGUACUGAGUCAGAGUAGGGAAAGUGUCUUCACAGUUUCCUCCCUACCCCCUCCCCAUCAAGGGGCCCAGCAGAGACAGGGACAGGCGCCUGAAGAGGACCUCCGCCCAAGGCCUCAGAAGGAGAGACCUGGGAACGAAGGUGCCUCUGGGCAAGGAGUGUAAAUAUGCGAAGAGCAUGGCCAGCGAGGGGGCUGAGUCCUUGACUGCACUCCCUCCAGAAACCGCCAUGCACGGGCUGCCUACGAGCUUGCUGUGGGGAGGGCAGCCUCUCCAGGCUGCCGGGCAAAGCCUCAGUAAUUGCCUGUGGUCAGGCCUGAAAAAUCACACAGUCACACAUGGGUUUUUAACCAGGAGCUGGACUCCUCAGUAGUUUUUCUCACCCAAGUGUUCGCUUGAAAUUCAUUCAUAUUCAUUCCCUCCCUGUCUCUCUCCGGCCCUCUCCCCCUCUACCCUGCCUUCCUCCCACACCCUCGCCCCCUGCAAUCCUACGCAUCCUUCUCAGCUAUAUUAGUUGCUUAUUGUUGCAUAACCAAGCACUCCAAAACUCAAAACAACAAACGUUUAUUAUCUCACAGUUUCUGUGAGUCAGGAAUCAAGAUGCAGCUUAGGUAGAUGCCUCUGGUUCAAAGUCUCUCGUAAGGUUGAAAACCGUCAGCCAAGGUUGCAGUCUCAUGUUGACUAGGGGGGACCACUCCCAAAUUCACUUGUGUGGUCAUUGGCAGUGUUCAGUUCCUUGCAGGCUGUUGGCAGGAGGCCUACCUCCGUUCCUCGCCACGUGAACCUUUCCUUAGGGCAUCUUAUAA